Molecule: long non-coding RNA, 904 nt
Filed under: Androctonus crassicauda
Lineage: Eukaryota; Metazoa; Arthropoda; Arachnida; Scorpiones; Buthidae
Source: RNAcentral
GCAUUUUGUAAUACUGAAUUGUUGGCAGCCUUGACUUGUGAGGAGUUUUUGCUGUGGAGUGUCCUUAUGCCUAGAGCUGACGUGGUGAAGACAGGUAGCCAUCUUAGAAACGGUGUUAAUGUUGUUUGCAUAAUGUUUGAAAUAAUUUUUGUUUAUGACUUGUUGGUUGAAUAUUAUGAUGAUAACGAAUUAUUAAAAUGUGUGGGAAGAAGGAGGAAACAACAAAUUAUAUUAAGUGUUGAUUAUUGUAAAGUUGAAAUUUCUGUAUUCAUUCAUUAUGUAAAUGGAGAGCGGUAUAAGAAGCCGUCCGAUAGAUGGUGUGGUGUGCUCUCUCCCUUAUCUGCGGCGUAUGUCUUGACUUUGUGGUGCAGUGGAUGUUUUUGGUUAUUCAUCAGUGUUUGUGGAGUAUUCAUCGAUGUGUGCACAGCUAGUUUUUCAAUUGUGGACUAGAGAGAAUAUUUAUUAUAAUUGUAAUCAGUUAAAAAUUGUAAGUUCCUUUCUUUCCAAUAAAUUUAAUUUAUCUAAUUAGUAUGGAGUACAUUCUUGAUGUUGUGACGACGUUCUUACGUUGGGUGGACCAGCAUGAAUUUCAUGUGCAUUUCAAAUUUUCGACUGUUAAACGGAAUGAUUCUGAGGGGGAGCGGGGUCGGAACUCGGACAGGGAGAUGGGCGGAUGCCCCGUCCUGUCAGACUGAGUCAAGAUGGCAUGAUUCUCUAUGGUUAAAUCUCAACUCCUUGAAUCAAAUUUGCACAGAAACCUUGUUCUUAUCUCUUCUUAUAAAUAUCUUUGAUCCAACAUUUUCUCUUCUUCGAUUAUGUUUCAAUUUCCUCAUUUACUGCAGCUAUUAACAUCUUUUCAUAAAUAGUGAAUGCCUUUUGCUGCUUAGUGUUCAUUUUGUUUUAC